This 204-nucleotide ribosomal RNA is filed under the name uncultured bacterium. RNAcentral's name for it is "partial 16S ribosomal RNA". It matches the Rfam family "Bacterial small subunit ribosomal RNA", at positions 1298 to 1500 of the family's 1533-position model. The record is from RNAcentral.
CUGUAGGCUGCAACUCGCCUACACGAAGUCGGAAUCGUUAGUAAUCGCGGAUCAGCAUGCCGCGGUGAAUACGUUCCCGGGCCUUGUACACACCGCCCGUCACACCAUGGGAGUUUGUAACGCCCAAAGUCGGUGGCCUAACCUUUAUGGAGGGAGCCGCCUAAGGCGGGACAGAUGACUGGGGUGAAGUCGUAACAAGGUAAC